This 460-nucleotide ribosomal RNA is filed under the name uncultured bacterium. RNAcentral's name for it is "partial 16S ribosomal RNA". It matches the Rfam family "Bacterial small subunit ribosomal RNA", at positions 338 to 795 of the family's 1533-position model. The record is from RNAcentral.
CCUACGGUAGGCAGCCGUGCUGACUAUUUUUCCCUUUUCUACCUCCUUCCCCCGCCCCGUCGCGUGCCGGAUGAAGGAUCUAUGGUUUGUAAACUUCUUUUAUAUGGGAAUAAAGUGAGGAACGUGUUCCUUUUUGUAUGUACCAUAUGAAUAAGCAUCGGCUAACUCCGUGCCAGCAGCCGCGGUAAUACGGAGGAUGCGAGCGUUAUACGGAUUUAUUGGGUUUAAAGGGUGCGUAGGUGGUUAAUUAAGUCAGCGGUGAAAGUUUGUGGCUCAACCAUAAAAUUGCCGUUGAAACUGGUUGACUUGAGUAUAUUUGAGGUAGGCGGAAUGCGUGGUGUAGCGGUGAAAUGCAUAGAUAUCACGCAGAACUCCGAUUGCGAAGGCAGCUUACUAAACUAUAACUGACACUGAAGCACGAAAGCGUGGGGAUCAAACAGGAUUAGAUACCCGUGUAGUC